GUGGGGAAUAUUGGACAAUGGGCGAAAGCCUGAUCCAGCCAUGCCGCGUGUGUGAAGAAGGUCUUCGGAUUGUAAAGCACUUUAAGUUGGGAGGAAGGGCAGUAAGUUAAUACCUUGCUGUUUUGACGUUACCGACAGAAUAAGCACCGGCUAACUUCGUGCCAGCAGCCGCGGUAAUACGAAGGGUGCAAGCGUUAAUCGGAAUUACUGGGCGUAAAGCGCGCGUAGAUGGUUUUGUAAGUUGGAGGUGAAAUCCCCGGGCUCAACCUGGGAACUGCCUCCAAAACUGCAUGACUAGAGUACGGUAGAGGGUAGUGGAAUUUCCUGUGUAGCGGUGAAAUGCGUAGAUAUAGGAAGGAACACCAGUGGCGAAGGCGACUACCUGGACUGAUACUGACACUGAGGUGCGAAAGCGUGGGGAGCAAACAGGAUUAGAAACCCUGGUAGUCC
Molecule: ribosomal RNA, 450 nt
Filed under: uncultured bacterium
Lineage: Bacteria
Description: partial 16S ribosomal RNA
Rfam family: Bacterial small subunit ribosomal RNA
Source: RNAcentral